RNAcentral lists this ribosomal RNA (331 nucleotides) under Listeria monocytogenes. RNAcentral's name for it is "bacterial LSU rRNA". It matches the Rfam family "Bacterial large subunit ribosomal RNA", at positions 2597 to 2925 of the family's 2925-position model. The record is from RNAcentral. Lineage: Bacteria; Bacillati; Bacillota; Bacilli; Caryophanales; Listeriaceae.
CACGCGAGCUGGGUUCAGAACGUCGUGAGACAGUUCGGUCCCUAUCCGUCGCGGGCGCAGGAAAUUUGAGAGGAGCUGUCCUUAGUACGAGAGGACCGGGAUGGACACACCGCUGGUGUACCAGUUGUUCCGCCAGGAGCAUCGCUGGGUAGCUAUGUGUGGCAGGGAUAAACGCUGAAAGCAUCUAAGCGUGAAGCCCCCCUCAAGAUGAGAUUUCCCAUUUCUUCGGAAAGUAAGAUCCCUGAAAGAUGAUCAGGUAGAUAGGUUUGGAGUGGAAGUGUAGCGAUACAUGGAGCGGACAAAUACUAAUCGAUCGAGGACUUAACCAAAA